UCCCAGAGUCCUCUGGGAAGAGGGAUUGACAGUUACACCAUUCUGUGAGAGAAAUAGGGGCCUUCUAACAACUCAGCACUUCCCAUGAUUCUCUGGGGGAAGCCAUGGCAGUUAAAGUGGUAGAGUCCAGCUGUGAUUUUUCCAUUUCCCCAAUAUCCUUCUUUUAAUAAGGUGACCAGCACGGGGGAAAAUUAGAAUGAAGACUUCUAUCUCCUUGGGAUAUUUCUACCUCUGAGGAUAGUACUUACUGAGUGGAGAGAGAGAGAGGUAUGUGUGAGGUGUUUAUCUGUGGAAAGCAGGAGAUAGCGUUGCAAAGAAGAAACGUGUACGCCGGGGAAUUGAAGAUCCAGCAAAUGGCUGACUGGAUUAAAAAACAACAACCCGCACAUGCCAUAAAAAAACAGAACAACAACCAACACUCCGCGCCCCCACCAACAGCAGAUGAAUUAAGAUGUUGUGCAGCACAUGACGGCUUCAACGAAACAGCUCGUGGUUUCCCCCUGCUAAUUCAGAAAUACCUGAAGAUGACACACCUGCAGCAAUAAAAUGAAGCCUUUCUCUGCAUUA
Molecule: long non-coding RNA, 567 nt
Organism: Podarcis raffonei (Aeolian wall lizard)
Lineage: Eukaryota; Metazoa; Chordata; Lepidosauria; Squamata; Lacertidae
Exons: 4
Source: RefSeq, a predicted model, not a curated record